CGGCGGACUAGGCUGGGGGGUUCGGCGUCCCCUGGAACCCGAAACCGUCGAUAUGCGGGGGCCGAAGCCCGGGGGGCGGCUCCUGAAGCCGCUCACUUGACCCCUGGGGGAGUGAUGAUUCCUCGUCCCACGGGGCUGGCGGUGAGCCAGGUACGGCUGGAGGGCCGUGCUAAGGCUCUUUAUCCGCUGAACCCCGCAAGGCCCGGAAGGGAGCAGCGGUAGGCGGAACGUGCAGCGCUCGUGGGGUAGCGGGGGAGAACAAGCCCAGGGCAAAAGGGAGCGGUGGAGGGUUCCCACCCCCGGGUGUGUCCGCCG
RNAcentral lists this signal recognition particle RNA (315 nucleotides) under Thermococcus sp. Its description in RNAcentral is "signal recognition particle sRNA". It matches the Rfam family "Archaeal signal recognition particle RNA". Lineage: Archaea; Methanobacteriati; Methanobacteriota; Thermococci; Thermococcales; Thermococcaceae. The record is from RNAcentral. RNAcentral also lists the same sequence under 1 other name.